RNAcentral lists this ribosomal RNA (253 nucleotides) under uncultured bacterium. Its description in RNAcentral is "partial 16S ribosomal RNA". It matches the Rfam family "Bacterial small subunit ribosomal RNA", at positions 524 to 776 of the family's 1533-position model. The record is from RNAcentral.
UACGGGGGGGGCAAGCGUUGUUCGGAAUUACUGGGCGUAAAGGGCGUGCAGGCGGUUUGUUAAGUGCAGGGUGAAAGCUCCCGGCUCAACUGGGAGAGGUCCUUGCAUACUGGCGAACUCGAGGGAGGCAGAGGAAAGUGGAAUUCCCGGUGUAGUGGUGAUAUGCGUAGAUAUCGGGAGGAACACCUGUGGCGAAGGCGGCUUUCUGGACCGGUAUUGACGCUGAGGCGCGAAAGCCAGGGGAGCAAACGGG